CGGUGUUUAACUGGCGUGAUGUGGGACGUCCUACCGGUGGGCUUAGCCUCGCGAGGGGCGGCCCAACUAAUAUCCCGUCGCGGUGCUCUUUACUGAGUGUCGAGUCGGGCCGGUACGUUUACUUUGAACAAAUUAGAGUGCUUAAAGCAGGCUAUCCUCGCCUGAAUACUGCGUGCAUGGAAUAAUGGAAUAGGACCUCGGUUCUAUUUUGUUGGUUUUCGGAACCCCGAGGUAAUGAUUAAUAGGGACAGAUGGGGGCAUUCGUAUUGCGACGUUAGAGGUGAAAUUCUUGGAUCGUCGCAAGACGGACAGAAGCGAAAGCAUUUGCCAAAAAUGUUUUCAUUAAUCAAGAACGAAAGUUAGAGGUUCGAAGGCGAUCAGAUACCGCCCUAGUUCUAACCAUAAACGAUGCCAGCUAGCGAUCCGCCGAAGUUCCUCCGAUGACUCGGCGGGCAGCUUCCGGGAAACCAAAGCUUUUGGGUUCCGGGGGAAGUAUGGUUGCAAAGCUGAAACUUAAAGGAAUUGACGGAAGGGCACCACCAGGAGUGGAGCCUGCGGCUUAAUUUGACUCAACACGGGAAACCUCACCAGGCCCAGACACCGGAAGGAUUGACAGAUUGAUAGCUCUUUCUUGAUUCGGUGGGUGGUGGUGCAUGGCCGUUCUUAGUUGGUGGAGCGAUUUGUCUGGUUAAUUCCGAUAACGAACGAGACUCUAGCCUGCUAAAUAGGCGUACCUUAUGGUAUCGCGAAGGCCCCCGGCUUCGGCCGGUGGGUUUUUACUACCAACGUACAAACAAAUCUUCUUAGAGGGCACAGCGCGG
RNAcentral lists this ribosomal RNA (821 nucleotides) under uncultured eukaryote. RNAcentral's name for it is "SSU rRNA". It matches the Rfam family "Eukaryotic small subunit ribosomal RNA", at positions 629 to 1428 of the family's 1831-position model. The record is from RNAcentral.